GUGGGGAAUUUUGGACAAUGGGCGCAAGCCUGAUCCAGCAAUGCCGCGUGCAGGAAGAAGGCCUUCGGGUUGUAAACUGCUUUUGUACGGAACGAAAAGGCUCUGGUUAAUACCUGGGGCUCAUGACGGUACCGUAAGAAUAAGCACCGGCUAACUACGUGCCAGCAGCCGCGGUAAUACGUAGGGUGCAAGCGUUAAUCGGAAUUACUGGGCGUAAAGCGUGCGCAGGCGGUUUUGUAAGACAGGCGUGAAAUCCCCGGGCUCAACCUGGGAAUGGCGCUUGUGACUGCAAGGCUGGAGUGCGGCAGAGGGGGAUGGAAUUCCGCGUGUAGCAGUGAAAUGCGUAGAUAUGCGGAGGAACACCGAUGGCGAAGGCAAUCCCCUGGGCCUGCACUGACGCUCAUGCACGAAAGCGUGGGGAGCAAACAGGAUUAGAUACCCUGGUAGUCC
This 450-nucleotide ribosomal RNA is filed under the name uncultured bacterium. RNAcentral describes it as "partial 16S ribosomal RNA". It matches the Rfam family "Bacterial small subunit ribosomal RNA", at positions 354 to 796 of the family's 1533-position model. The record is from RNAcentral.